UAGAGGGUAGUACAAUGGGAGUACGUAAAAUUUUGGGUUUUAUAGUACAGGUUCGAAUCCUGUUUUCUAGG
Molecule: transfer RNA, 71 nt
Filed under: Varanus pilbarensis
Lineage: Eukaryota; Metazoa; Chordata; Lepidosauria; Squamata; Varanidae
Description: tRNA-Gln
Rfam family: tRNA
About the family: Transfer RNA (tRNA) molecules are approximately 80 nucleotides in length. Their secondary structure includes four short double-helical elements and three loops (D, anti-codon, and T loops). Further hydrogen bonds mediate the characteristic L-shaped molecular structure. tRNAs have two regions of fundamental functional importance: the anti-codon, which is responsible for specific mRNA codon recognition, and the 3' end, to which the tRNAs corresponding amino acid is attached (by aminoacyl-tRNA synthetases). tRNAs cope with the degeneracy of the genetic code in two manners: having more than one tRNA (with a specific anti-codon) for a particular amino acid; and 'wobble' base-pairing, i.e. permitting non-standard base-pairing at the 3rd anti-codon position.
Source: RNAcentral